GCCCGCCGUGUCGAAGGCGUCGCGCAGCUCUUCCCACGGGUUGUGGACGGCGCCGACGACGGGCUUGUUGCCGUUCAGCCCGUGGCGGCCC
RNAcentral lists this transfer RNA (91 nucleotides) under Streptomyces sp. ADI95-16. RNAcentral describes it as "tRNA-Gly". The record is from RNAcentral. Lineage: Bacteria; Bacillati; Actinomycetota; Actinomycetes; Kitasatosporales; Streptomycetaceae.